This 942-nucleotide unclassified non-coding RNA is filed under the name Hevea brasiliensis (rubber tree). The record is from RNAcentral. Lineage: Eukaryota; Viridiplantae; Streptophyta; Magnoliopsida; Malpighiales; Euphorbiaceae.
CUUAUAUUGGAAGCCAAUGAUGUCUGUGGCUAGUGAAGUGUGCAGUCAUUUCAAUGUGCCAUUAUAUGAUAAUACAUUUGGGAAUCCCAAUGCUGAUAUUUUCUUUGUUACUGGGUGUGUUGCAUUUAAGUGAAAUGGGUCUAUAGGAAAUGAAACAACUUUUGUGUUCUUGCAUAUAGUUGUAGCUUCUGCCUUCUGUAAGUUGGAAUAUGUUACAUGGAGUUUAAAUGAUAAAGCUUUAUUUCUCACUAGCUGUAAAACCAUAGUGCUUGUUUAGCUAAAAGACAUGUCCCUUUUAUUUUGAUAAUGCUGUUAGUGGACAUAGUUAUCUUUAGUUUGGCUGUUAUUACAUUCAUAUGUUGUACGAACUGCUAUAUACAAUCCGCUUUUUUGUUGGUUGAUUCAUCAAAUGCUUGGUGCUUUUUGUGGGAUAGUGAAGGCUUUACGCAAGCAUUUUUAUGUGGAUCUUUUACAGAAGCUAGGAAAAGGUACUGCAAUAGUUAUAAUAUUCUUUGGUAUCAGUUGAUAUUCUGAUUGCUAUGUUGGACAGUGUAAUCAUGGUUGAAAAAGGUUGGAGUAUUCUGCUAGGGAAUAUUGGUUACCUAACUGGUUGAGUUGCAUUAUGACUGACUGGAGAUUCUGAACAAUCGUGAGUGCAUACCAUCUUUGAGAUUGCAUUCGAGCUAAGUGAAUUUAAUAAGUUUGUGAUAUCAAGAAGGAAGGCUUGUUUAUAACAGGCUGCCACUAUUGAGAACUUCAAGCAUAAGUAGUUCUGUUAACAAGAAUUUGACUGCAAACUUUCUGUUGUGGUUUCCUUGCUUGCAUAUGGCUGGUGGUUCAGCACUGAGUGCAAGAUAUAGUCUCAAUGGCUGAAGGAAAAAUUGAUUUCCUUAAGGAUGCUAUGCAAGGACUUUAUUCAAUGUAGUAAACCAUUUACCAUAU